RNAcentral lists this ribosomal RNA (484 nucleotides) under uncultured bacterium. Its description in RNAcentral is "partial 16S ribosomal RNA". It matches the Rfam family "Bacterial small subunit ribosomal RNA", at positions 30 to 507 of the family's 1533-position model. The record is from RNAcentral.
AUUGAACGCUGGCGGCAUGCUUUACACAUGCAAGUCGAACGGCAGCACGGGGACAACCCUGGUCUCGCGUUGCGAACGGGUGGGUAAUACAUCGGUGCAUGCCCUGUCUUUGGGGCUAACGUAGCUAAAGUUACCCGAAUACCGCAUCCGAUCUUAUGAUGAAACGGGGGGACCUUUAGUCCUCGCCGGAUCGGAUGUCCCUAUUUCAUAUUAGGUAGUUGGUUUGGUAAAUGCCUACCAAGCCGACUAUCCGUAGCUAGGCUGAGAGGACGACCAGCCACACUGGGACUGAGACACGGCCCAGACUCCUACGGGAGGCAGCAGUAGGGAAUUUUGGGCAAUGGGCGGAAGCCUGAUCCAGCAAUGCCGCGUGAAGGACGAAGGUCUUCGGGUUGUAAAAUGCUUUUGUUUGGAAAGAAAAAGCUCUGGAUAAAACCUGGGGGUCAUGACGGUAACGUAAGAAUAAGCCCCGGCUAACUACGUG